GACGAACGCUGGCGGUAUGCUUAACACAUGCAAGUCGAACGAGACGAAGAUGAAGUGCUUGCACGGAUUCUUUAGAAAGUGGCGAACGGGUGAGUAACGCGUGGGUAACCUGCCCUAUGGAAAGGAAUAGCCUCGGGAAACUGGGAGUAAUGCCUUAUAAUAUAUCGAAGUCGCAUGGCUUUGAUAUUAAACGCUCCGGUGCCAUAGGAUGGACCCGCGUCCCAUUAGCUAGUUGGUGAGAUAACAGCCCACCAAGGCGACGAUGGGUAACCGGUCUGAGAGGGCGAACGGUCACACUGGAACUGAGACACGGUCCAGACUCCUACGGGAGGCAGCAGUGGGGAAUAUUGCGCAAUGGGGGCAACCCUGACGCAGCAAUACCGCGUGAGUGAAGAAGGUUUUCGGAUCGUAAAGCUCUGUUAUUGGGGAAGAAAAAAAGACGGUACCCAAGAAGAAAGUCCCGGCUAACUACGUGCCAGCAGCCGCGGUAA
Molecule: ribosomal RNA, 491 nt
Filed under: uncultured bacterium
Lineage: Bacteria
Description: partial 16S ribosomal RNA
Rfam family: Bacterial small subunit ribosomal RNA
Source: RNAcentral